Long non-coding RNA from Oryzias sinensis (Chinese medaka), 1623 nucleotides. NCBI's taxonomy places the organism in Eukaryota, Metazoa, Chordata, Actinopteri, Beloniformes, Adrianichthyidae. The record is from Ensembl.
AAGUCAUCAUUGCACUCUCAAGAAUGAAGUUCUUGACCAGGAAAUGGCAAAAGGCGAUCCGAAGGCCAUCAUUGUCUGCAACUGGACAUGCUGGACCUAAAGUGGAUGUCUUAAGGGAGCAACAGCCAAUAUCUAAAUCUGACUUGAUCCAGAACAGAGCAAGUAAUGCCGUCCAAAGAGCCACUGUUUCAGCUCUGGUGCCUCCAAGUAAAUCACCCUUCAGGUUGCACAACAGGUCUCACUCCAGUUCCACCAUGGCCUCAGUGCAUUUGGAUGGAACAUCUCAGGAUCCAGAGCAAUCGCUGACAGAAUACAUCCACCAUCUAGAGAAAGUCCAGCAACGGUUGGUGGGAGCCAAGCAAAGUUCAGCUGUCCUCCAGACCCGGCCAAAGUAGUCUGAUUACUCAGACUGAAGUCUGCCUGCCCUAAUAUUGUUCAAUGUAUCAUGCCUUACUCCUGUGAAAUACCAAAAUGUCACCCUUGUUCAAUUUUGUUCUGAUGUCAUAACUUUAAACAUGUUUUCUAAGGGUUUAUUUUUUUUAUUUCAUUAUUAAACAGUUUACAUAUUUUUAUUUGUCAUGUCCACAGAAGAUGCUGUAAUAGCAAAUGUUUUCUGUGAUUUUUAUUGUUUUUAAACUAAUGUUUAGUACUAUUCUAAUAAGACUGACUGUAUAAAUGUAAACAUGUGUUCCCCCCCAAUACUGGAAAACACUCGACAUGCAUUGUUGAAUAAAGAUGAGUUGUGUUUUAGUUAUUAAAGACCUUUUAUUUGAUUUCAAAUUCAUGACUUUAUCAAAAGACGUUCAUUUAUGUUUCAAGAUUAUUUUAAAUGUGAUGAAUUAGCAAAGAUAAUUGAUUUUUACCAACUAACACAGAUUAGAGUAACUGGUUAUUUCUAACUAGCAUCAAUCUGUUGGAGAAAACCAUUUUGCCCCUUCAUAACAGUACCUUUAUCUUAAACUUAAUUAAAUUAGCCCUUAAUUUUGCUUAGGUGUGUAAAUCUUUGUUGAUAAUUAUGUAAACAGUUGCCCAACACAGCCAAUGAGCAUCAGCGUUUGUAGUGACGUUUUACCCCCUCCUUCAAGAAUUGUUCGUUAAUUAUACCAGAAGAUACCGCGGACGGGCGGAAAACACAACUACGUGUCACCGCAGGACUCCACCCUCCCCGUUUUCCUCUAACGUUCACAACGUUCGCCAUUCGCUGAAGUCUGCCAAGUGACGCACUAAUUUCGCAUCGGUACAGCAAUGCUAAGCUAAAGUAACAGUAGGCGCGUGUCGUAGGUUCUUAUUUUAACACCUUACCUGUCAAAUAAACCGUCCUGGCCCGCGUGGAAGACCUCGUUACACCUUUCUCGUAUUUGUCUGGGAUGUAUAAAUGGAUAGUUGACUGCAUUUCGUCGUUGUUUGAGCCCAUAUCGAGUCAAAACACACCCGGGGAAAGUAUCGAUUGCGAGGAAGAAUUCACUAGAACCUGCGUGAAAGCUGCUAGACAACGGCUGGGUAGCAGCGCGAGACCCGCAAAACGGAACUAUCAGAGGUCGGUAAAUGUCAAUAAACGUGUAGAUGUUACUUAAUAAAUGCCUUGUUUUUCGGUAACAAAACUACGCACACUAAUUUUGAAAG